UUGAACGAAACAUUUAUUCAAGGGCUGUUGAGGCGUAUUUCUUGAAUUGAAAUGAUGAAUUUCAUCAAGGUUUGUUGAGGCUUGGUCUUGAAUGAAAUGAAAAUUUUCUUCAAGGGCCGUAAAGGCUUAAUCUUGAAUAAAAUAGAAAUUUUUUUCAAGGGCCAUAGAGGCUUGAUCUUAAAUGAAAUGAAAAUUUAAUUCAAGGGCCAUAGAGGCUUGAUCUUGAAUGAAAAUUUUGAAAAUGGAUAAAUCGGCACAUACUUAUUGUUGAUUUUCCAUAAUUUUUGACAAAAUACAUUUAGUGUAUUUUGAGGCUUGGAUUUUUUUUCUUGUGGGUGUGGGAAAAAUGCUUUUUCCUUCCUUAGGUAGGAGCCUCCUUCAAUUUUGGCAAUGAGGGUGAUUUCCUUCAAGGUUUUGGAAAGAUUUAAUGCUUGUCCUUAGGUAAGUAGGAUUUCCAUUUUUUUCCUUUGAUUUCUGAUGAGUAGAUUUUAUAUUAUAUAUUUUACCCUAAUCUUAGUAUAUUUUGGUUAAUAUUUUGGAAGAAUUUUGAUGCUUUGAAUUGUAUUUUCAAUAUAAGACUUUCAACUUCCUCUGGAGCAAAACAGGACCAAAUGGACGAAUUUUGGAGUAAUUCUAGUUGAAGGACGUUCGUGAGUCACUUAGCUUGAUUGUAUCAAAAUCUGGGAUUUUUCCACCAAGCGGUUAUUUUCUGGCGAUAAAAUAAAGGAGCGAUGUGCAGUGUUGGAAAAUGAUGUUUUUGGGCUUAAAUUGCGUUUUUGGAGCCCAAAAUGACCUCGGAUGAGUUCGUGGCCUUCUGGAGAAGUGUUCAAAAUAUUCCAAACAUUAAAUCCAGCUAUAUUGGGCCAGUUUUGGAGCAGCUUAUGGGUCCAAAACGUGGCUGUUCAGAUUUUAGACGAAUUUUACCAUUUAAUUUAGGGAACUUUAACGAAAAACACCCAGUACUGUUCACUUUAACGAAAAACCACAUUUUUACACUAAAAAGUCAAUCCUGGUAAUAUUCACUUUACCCUUUAUUUUGUCCUUAUCAUUAAAACUCAAAGUUUUCAAGCCCUUUUCAUUAGUUUUCCAUUUAAUUUAGGGCUAUGUUCCCUAUUUUAUUUUAUUAUUAUUAUUAGUUUCCUAGUGGGAAUAAAGGACCUGUUUUUAGGGUUUGUGUGUGCGUGUGUUGGGGGGGGGGUUGGCAGAUUUAUUGCUUGGCCGUCUACCAUAUUUCUCUACGCUUUCUUUAUGCAAUUUUGGAGACAGAGAGAAUUGUUAGGGUUUUGGAGACUUUUUACUUGAAGGUGUUUUCAAUCAUUUUCUUGAAUAUAUUUUCUAUUAUUUCAAUUAUGAAUAUGUGUAACUAAUUUUUUUUGCUAGGGCGAAGCCUUGAGCCUUAGCAUGAAUAUGUGAUUUUUAUUUAAUUAUUUAUGAUUGAUUGCAUGCGUACUUUGAAUUAUUAAUCACCGGGAUUAAAACUAUCUAAUUGUUCUUAAUGCCUGAUCACCAUUAGGAUCUUUAGAAAAGUAAUUUGAUGUAAUUUUGGUCGGAAGAUUCCCUAAAAUUGACACUAGCUUCUUGUGAUUAAUAAUUGUAAUUUCACUUAAGAUAAACACCACGUCUUAAGGAUUGCAUGGUUUUUCAAAGGGUUUUCAUAAAGCAUAAUGAACCUUUCCUUUUCAGAUAAGCUCCAGACAUCUACUGUUCUCUUCUAUGUCGGAUCAGUAUUCUGUAGCUCCUGCCGCAGAUGCACACAUGCAUUAGAUAAUUUUCAUCCAUUUUUUUUCCCCAAAUCUAGGCAUAUAAAAAAAAAUCGAAGGGAGAUGUGGAUAAAAAUUACCCAUGAAUGUGUCGAAAUCAGAGAGGGAUGUGAUCUGUGGUGUCAUCUUUGCAGUUGUUGAUAUUAUUGUUUGAGGGUGCUCGAUUUCUGAGGAUGAAGGAGCAGCUGUGGAAAUGAGGGAAAAUGUGGGGGAAGGAUGUCUAUUUUUCAUUUUACAGAGAUAUGGGGUCUGAGUGAAACAAAGAGGGAGGGCUGAAUUUCUAAAGAGACAGAAAGCUCUUGCGUUUUUUAGAGUCAUGCAGAAGAGAGAGAGCAAAGAUGGAUUAGUUUGAAAUGAAAGCCAUGAGAGAUGUCUCUCAUUUUUCUAGAGAGAACGAGAGCCUUCGGGGUUUGCAAAUCACAUUAUUAUCCCUCUUCAUCUGACAAGGUAAUAGGACUGGACAGAAGAGAGCCGUUUGGCUCUACGAUCGAGGCUAGUGAAAAGGGAAUCCUAUGCGUGCUCGGGUUUUUCAAUUGACAAAUGCAGCUACUGCCCCAGCUUAUAUUGUAAUUGUUGCCAAGAUUGGACACACGGGGGGCUUGUAAGUGUUGGCUAACACGUCUUCGCAAGUUCCCAGCUACCAGGUCCUGCGUUUGAAUCCCCGAAGUGUUCAUUAGUGUUUUACUUCUCCACAUUUUUGUCAGCUCACCUCAGCAAGUUCACAGUUCCACCCUUCAACUCUCUGGUGUGUCAAUUUUUAAUACUUUUUCUUUUCUUUUAUUUUCUGUUUUCUGUUUUACUUUAUUUAAUUUUAUUGUUUUUCUAUUCCUUUUUCCUAUUUUCUUAUUUUCUUUUCUUAGGAUUUUUUUUUCUUUAUCUUUGAUUUUCGUUCUACAUUUUUCUAGGAUUUAGUUGUUUUGUUUCUGUUCUUGUUUCUUUUGUUUAUUUUCCACACUUUGAGGACAAAGUGUGAAAUAAGUUUGGGGGUGGGAAAGUAAAUUUUAUUUUUUUUUUAUUAUUGUGUCAGUUUAAAAUUUUCAUUCUUCUUAAGUUAAUAUCCAUAGAUUAUUUUAAACGUUAGAACAAAUGGACAUGGUGAAGGUUAAUCCCACAUUAGAGUCUUUACUAUUUAUCGUUGCUUAGAAACUAAUUCAUGAAUUAUACUUUGAACUUUGCACAUCACACCAACAUGGUUUGUGGGGAGUGAGAUUGAAACACUUGCUUUUAGUCUAAGUUUAUUUUUAAUUUUUGUUUUAAGUAAAGUCAGUUAUUAUUGUGAAUAAAGUAAUAAUUGUCUCACCCAAGGUUUUGCCUAGUAACCGGGCUAGUCCUGCCUAAUCAGCAUUGAUUCUCACGUCAAACGGUAGAGUUUUGGCAUGGGGCAGGGUGGUUAGUUGGUUUCGUAGCCUUUUCAGCUCGGGUUAAUAAGUCCUUAGGGGUGUUCUACACCUAGUGCCCUAAAGCCCUAUUGGUUUGGGAGUCAUUGACCUAAAGAUCACUACAUGGGUUGGAUCGAAAGCUUAAGUGAACCGACAUUGCACAACCAAUACUGUUACUGAAAAAAAAAAAAGAGAUAAAAAAUUGAAAAAAAGAAAGAAAAGAAAUAUAGUUAUAUUUAAAGUUAGUAUGUGUGAAAUAAAGAAGGACGAGAGGUAAGGGUUUUAGUCGAUUCUCCUUAACUAUGUUGGUUCACUUUACACCAAAGGAAGUUUGUGAAUUCUUUUCUAAUUGAUUCUAAAUAGCUUAGACUCUGUGGUGGGAUUGGUUGGAACUUUUGAAAAGAUGUUCUAGUUUUUAAAAUUUGCUAUGGAUUGCAACUUAGUCUUGUUUUGUCUUGGUUGAGUUUUCGCUAGUUGUCUAGUUUGUAAAGUUUUUAUUUUUUAUUUUUAGUCUUGUUUUGCUUGAGGACAAGCAAAAAGCUAAGUUUGGGGGUAUUUUGAUGAGUAGAUUUAUAUUAUAUAUUUUACCCUAAUCUUAGUAUAUUUUGGAAAUAUUUUAAUGCUUAGAAUUGUAUUUUCAAUAUAAGACUUUUGACUUCCUCUGGAGCAAAACAAGAUCAAAUGGACGAAUUUUGGAGUAAUUCCAGUUGAAGGACGUUCAUGAGUCACUUAGCUUGAUCAUAUCAAAUCUGGGAUUUUUCCACCAAGCGGUUAUUUUCUGGCGAUAAAAUAAAGGAGCGAUGAGCAGUG
Molecule: long non-coding RNA, 3949 nt
Filed under: Malus domestica (apple)
Lineage: Eukaryota; Viridiplantae; Streptophyta; Magnoliopsida; Rosales; Rosaceae
Description: long non-coding RNA (MDOM_LNC012977)
Source: RNAcentral